UACAGAGGGGGCAAGCGUUAUUCGGAAUUAUUGGGCGUAAAGGGCGCGUAGGCGGUCGUGACAAGUCACUUGUGAAAUCUCCGGGCUUAACUCGGAACGGUCAAGUGAUACUGUCGGACUAGAGUACAGAAGGGGGCAACUGGAAUUCUCGGUGUAGCGGUGAAAUGCGUAGAUAUCGAGAGGAACACCUGCGGCGAAGGCGGGUUGCUGGGCUGACACUGACGCUGAACUGCGAAAGCUAGGGGAGCGAACGGG
This 255-nucleotide ribosomal RNA is filed under the name uncultured bacterium. RNAcentral's name for it is "partial 16S ribosomal RNA". It matches the Rfam family "Bacterial small subunit ribosomal RNA", at positions 524 to 776 of the family's 1533-position model. The record is from RNAcentral.